GAUCCUGGCUCAGGAUGAACGCUAGCUACAGGCUUAACACAUGCAAGUCGAGGGGCAGCAUGAACUUAGCUUGCUAAGUUUGAUGGCGACCGGCGCACGGGUGAGUAACACGUAUGCAAUCCACCUGUAACAGGGGGAUAACCCGGAGAAAUCCGGACUAAUACCCCAUAAUAUGGACGCUCCGCAUGGAGAGCCCAUUAAAGAGAGCAAUUUUGGUUACAGACGAGCAUGCG
This 233-nucleotide ribosomal RNA is filed under the name uncultured bacterium. RNAcentral's name for it is "partial 16S ribosomal RNA". It matches the Rfam family "Bacterial small subunit ribosomal RNA", at positions 15 to 235 of the family's 1533-position model. The record is from RNAcentral.